GGAUUGUAAACUUCUUUUAUACGGGAAUAAAGUGAGGCACGUGUGCCUUUUUGUAUGUACCGUAUGAAUAAGGAUCGGCUAACUCCGUGCCAGCAGCCGCGGUAAUACGGAGGAUCCGAGCGUUAUCCGGAUUUAUUGGGUUUAAAGGGAGCGUAGGCGGACGCUUAAGUCAGUUGUGAAAGUUUGCGGCUCAACCGUAAAAUUGCAGUUGAUACUGGGUGUCUUGAGUACAGUAGAGGCAGGCGGAAUUCGUGGUGUAGCGGUGAAAUGCUUAGAUAUCACGAAGAACUCCGAUUGCGAAGGCAGCUUGCUGGACUGUAACUGACGCUGAUGCUCGAAAGUGUGGGUAUCAAACAGGAUUAGAUACCCUGGUAGUCCACACAGUAAA
RNAcentral lists this ribosomal RNA (388 nucleotides) under uncultured bacterium. RNAcentral's name for it is "bacterial SSU rRNA". It matches the Rfam family "Bacterial small subunit ribosomal RNA", at positions 420 to 806 of the family's 1533-position model. The record is from RNAcentral.